AGAGUUUGAUCCUGGCUCAGGAUGAACGCUGGCGGCGUGCCUAAUACAUGCAAGUCGAGCGAACAGAUAAGGAGCUUGCUCCUUUGACGUUAGCGGCGGACGGGUGAGUAACACGUGGGUAACCUACCUAUAAGGCUGGAAUAACUCCGGGAAACCGGGGCUAAUGCCGGAUAAUAUUUAGAACCGCAUGGUUCUAAAGUGAAAGAUGGUUUUGCUAUCACUUAUAGAUGGACCCGCGCCGUAUUAGCUAGUUGGUGGGGUAAUGGCUUACCAAGGCAACGAUACGUAGCCGACCUGAGAGGGUGAUCGGCCACACUGGAACUGAGACACGGUCCAGACUCCUACGGGAGGCAGCAGUAGGGAAUCUUCCGCAAUGGGCGAAAGCCUGACGGAGCAACGCCGCGUGAGUGAUGAAGGUCUUCGGAUCGUAAAACUCUGUUAUUAGGGAAGAACAAAUGUGUAAGUAACUGUGCACGUCUUGACGGUACCUAAUCAGAAAGCCACGGCUAACUACGCG
This 517-nucleotide ribosomal RNA is filed under the name uncultured Staphylococcus sp. RNAcentral's name for it is "bacterial SSU rRNA". It matches the Rfam family "Bacterial small subunit ribosomal RNA", at positions 8 to 507 of the family's 1533-position model. Lineage: Bacteria; Bacillati; Bacillota; Bacilli; Caryophanales; Staphylococcaceae. The record is from RNAcentral.